CAGUAUUGGUGUCAGAUAAUGAACUGGCCCACUGGGCCCAAGAAAUCCCCCGUCCUGUUUUAGAGCAUUCAGACAAUUCUGAGAGCCUCUAUGGUAAGGUGGUUUGAAUCUUUAACAAAGGCUCUGACAAGAUAGAUUCCUGAUAGAUUCCGACAAGCCUUGCGGGACCCUGCUCCUCCUGGCGACUCAUUAGAUGACCUUGUCGAGGACUGGAAUAAUUGGCUCUUGGCAGUCAUUGAUGAGAUCGCGCCUAAGCGCCCUCUGCGACCCCGUCGAAACCGGGCCCCUUGGUUUACUGAGGAGCUCCAGAAAAUGAAGCAGGAUCUCAGACGGCUAGAGCGAGUAUGGCGACGGACUCGUGACGGAGCUUCAAGAACAUCUUAUAGGACGCUUAUGAAAUCCUAUGAGAUGGCUAUGAAAGCUGCUAAGAAAUCUUACUUUGCAGCUUCCAUUGCAUCCACUAGCUCUCGCCCGGCACAACUUUUUAGAAUAAUUAGGUCAAUAGCAUCCUUAGGAGGACAACCAAAUUUAAGCACAAAUUCGACCCACAGCUGUGAGGCAUUCGCGAGCUUUUUUGCGGAGAAAGCCCUGUUGCUCCGCCGUGACCUCCCUGCCAAUUUAGAUACAGUGACUGAACUGGAGGCCCCUCGACUGACUUCAGGUCCAGUGUUGGACCAUUUCGAUCAGAUACUCCCUACUGAUGUGGAUAGAUUCCUCCAAGUUGGUAGGCCCACCACCUGCCUCCUUGAUCAGUGCCCGUCUUGGCUGAUUAGGGAGUGUCCAGAUGUUGCACGGACCCCCCUGGUUGAAAUUAUCAAUUUGUCAUUUGACACGGGGACAUUCCCAGGGGAACUGAAGGAAGCAGUGGUGUGUCCACUCUUAAAGAAAACUUCAUUAGAUCCCUUAGACCUAUCCAAUUACCGCCCAGUUUCAAAUCUUCCAUACCUGGGUAAGGUAAUUGAGAGAGCGGUUGCUGAACAGCUUGGUAGGUUUCUGGAGGAAACAUCGGCUUUAGAUCCAUUUCAGUCCGGUUUCCGUCCUGGUUUUGGGACCGAGACGGCUCUGGUUGCCCUAACAGAUGAUCUCUGUAGACAACUGGAUUGAGGCGGGUCAGGACUGCUGAUCCUUUUAGAUUUGUCAGCAGCCUUUGACAUGGUCGAUCAUGAUCUUCUGGACCACCGCCUCGCAGACGUGGGGAUACAGGGCAUAGCCCGUAACUGGUUGUGCUCUUUUAUCUCUGGUCGGGGACAGAGGGUGGCACUAGGGACGGAAAUGUCGUCGCGCCACUCCUUGGUGUGUGGAGUGCCGCAGGGCGCAAUUCUUUCCCCGAUGCUUUUUAACAUCUUUAUGCGCCCCCUUACCCAGAUUAUCCGGAGCUUUGGGCUGGGCUGUCACCAAUAUGCUGAUGACACUCAGCUCUAUCUGCUGAUGGAUGGCCACAUCGACUCGGCCCCGAACACACUAACCAGAUGCUUGGAAGCUGUGGCUGGAUGGUUUCGUGGGAGCCGAUUGAAACUAAAUCCUUCGAAGACAGAGGUCCUAUGGCUAGGUCGGGAUGGCAUGGGGAUGAGGAACCAACUCCCUUCUCUUGUGGGGGCCCAAUUAGUGCCAUUGCCUUCCGUUAAGAGUUUGGGUGUAAUCCUUGAUGCCUCCCUUUCCAUGGAGGCGCAAGUUACAGCAACAGCCAAGGCUACAUUUUUCCACCUUCGCUGCAUCAAGCAGUUGGUCCCUUACCUUUCCCGCCCCAACCUGGCCACAGUGAUCCAUGCGACGGUCAUCUCCAGGCUUGACUACUGUAAUUCGCUGCCCUUGAAGCUGUCCCAGAAACUCCAGCGGGUACAGAAUGCUGCAGCGAGGGUCCUUACAGGGUCUCUGCCAUGGGAGCAUAUUCACCCAGUGCUUUUCAAGCUGCACUGGCUCCUGGUGGAGUACAGGGUCAGGUUCAAGGUGCUGGUUUUGACCUUUCAAGCCCUUCACGGCCUAGGACCCUCGUACGUACGGGACCGCCUCUCCCGGUAUGCCCCACAGAGAGCCUCAAGGUCCAUAAAUAGCAACACCCUAGUGGUCCCGGGCCCUAAGGAAGUUAGAUUGGCUUCAACCAGAGCCAGGGCCUUUUCAACUCUGGCUCCAGCCUGGUGGAACGCUCUGCCUCAUGAGACCAGGGCCCUGCAGGAUCUGAUUUCUUUCCGCAGGGCCUGUAAGACAGAGUUGUUCUGCCUGGCCUUUGGCUUGGAGCCAAUUUGAUUCCCUCCCUCCCUCUCUUUCUUUUUUCUUUUCCUUCUCCUCCUGCGAUGAGGCUACUUUUUAAAAUUUUAAUGUUUCAAUAUUUUAAUGUUGUAUUUUAAUUUUGUUUUUAAGUUGUAAUCAUUCAACUUGUUUUUAUUAUUGCUUGUAAGCCGCUCUGAGCCCGGCCUUGGCUAGGGAGGGCGGGGUAUAAAUAAAAAUUAUUAUUAUUAUUAUUAUUAUAGAGCAUUCAGACAAUUCUGAGAGCCUCUAUGGUAAGGUGGUUUGAAUCUUUAACAAAGGCUCUGACAAGUACAGGAGUUCCCCUCUCCCUUCUAGUAGCUCACCAGUAAGAAUUAACGAGCAUCUUUUGUUCUUUUGUUCAAGGUGAACAAAAGACACUUUGAUGGCUGUCACCCAUGGAAGCAAUAUCCCUUAAAAAGAUAAAUAUAAGGACAAAUUGGCCAACAUAUAGAGAGCUCCUAGUGGAAGUGGAAAAUCAACUGAAAUUAAGAAAAUGUGACAAAAUAAGAAAAUAGGUAUCAGAAUGGCUACAAUAUUUUCAAUUAAAUGAGACAUUUAAAGAAAACAAAAAAGAGGAUUCAGUUAUACAAUAUCUAGAUUUCAAAGAGAAAUUGUAGAGGACAAUACCAAACUAUUGAAGAAAAUGUAUAGUUUGUUGCUAGAAUGGGAAACAAAGGAUGAAGUGGUGCGAUGGUGUGUGAUGAUAAAGCGGGUGAGAGAUCUGGAACAUAAUAGCCAAAUGUGUGAUUGGGAAAAACUUUGGAAGGUGGAUCUGAAAUUUACUGCAUGUACAAUACUGAAAGAGAACUACAUGAAAAUGAUGUAUCAUUGGUACAUAACACUGGUAAAACUUGCAAAAAUGUAUAGAAGAAGUUCUAAUAAGUGUUGGAAAUGUGAAGAAAAAGAGGAUACUUUUUACCAUAUGUGGUGGGAGUGUAAAAUGGUUUAAAAUUUCUGGGAUAUAUAAUGAACUGAAGAAAAUGUUUAAAAAUGACUUUUACCAAAAAACCAGAAGUGUUUUUAUUAGGAAUAAGAGAAAAUCAAAUCCUGAAGGAAAAGAAAAAACUGUUUAUGUAUGCAACAACAGCAUCCCGGACCUUACUAGCCCAAAGGUGGGAGGAAGAUAAGAUACCAACUAUAGAAGAAUGGAUAUUGAAAAUGAUGGACUAUGCAGACAUGGCAAAACUUGCAGAAAAGCUCAGAGUCAAUGACAUUGAGAAAUUAAAAAAAAGAAUGGGAGGCAUUUAUUGUAUAUAUACAAAAAUAUUGUAAACAAGUAGAAACAUUGGCAGA
RNAcentral lists this long non-coding RNA (3540 nucleotides) under Podarcis lilfordi (Lilford's wall lizard). The record is from RNAcentral. Lineage: Eukaryota; Metazoa; Chordata; Lepidosauria; Squamata; Lacertidae.